CAAGGCAUCAAAGUGAUUGUGAUGUGUUUCAACAAUCAUAUCACAGUCAGCUUUGAUGAGCUUGA
RNAcentral lists this microRNA precursor (65 nucleotides) under Aplysia californica (California sea hare). RNAcentral's name for it is "mir-2 microRNA precursor family". It matches the Rfam family "mir-2 microRNA precursor family". From Rfam's summary of the family: The miRNAs are transcribed as ~70nt precursors (modelled here) and subsequently processed by the Dicer enzyme to give a ~22nt product. Lineage: Eukaryota; Metazoa; Mollusca; Gastropoda; Aplysiida; Aplysiidae. The record is from Rfam by way of RNAcentral.